GCAGGAAGAUUCAUGAGUUAUUGAGUUGGCUAAGGAAUAGUUGGAGCAUAUAAUGCAAACCUAAAGUCCAAGACAACAUACAAUAUGGCGAUAGCCUCAAUUUUUUGGAGUUUAUAAAAUUGGAAGUACAAUGUCAAGUAAUUGGAGUAAAUUGUGUGAGAGUUGAAUUUUAAUAAACUUUUAUUUGUGUUU
This is a long non-coding RNA of Solanum dulcamara, 192 nucleotides long. RefSeq lists it as uncharacterized. Lineage: Eukaryota; Viridiplantae; Streptophyta; Magnoliopsida; Solanales; Solanaceae. The transcript has 2 exons. The record is from RefSeq and is a predicted model, not a curated record.